Small nuclear RNA from Sarcophilus harrisii (Tasmanian devil), 101 nucleotides. NCBI's taxonomy places the organism in Eukaryota, Metazoa, Chordata, Mammalia, Dasyuromorphia, Dasyuridae. The record is from Ensembl.
GUAUUGCCAGUGCAUAUACUAAAAUUGGAAUGAUAAGGGGAAGAUUAACAUGGCCUCUGGGCAAGGAUGACAUGCAAAUUUGUGAAUUGGUCCCUAUUUUU